Long non-coding RNA from Zingiber officinale, 293 nucleotides. RefSeq lists it as uncharacterized. The record is from RefSeq and is a predicted model, not a curated record. The transcript has 3 exons. Lineage: Eukaryota; Viridiplantae; Streptophyta; Magnoliopsida; Zingiberales; Zingiberaceae.
AAUGGAGUCAAAAGGUGGGGAAAAGUCUAGUAGUAGGAGUUCAUUAUAGUACGAAGCUCCCCUUGGCUACAACAUUGAAGAUGUUUGACCACAUGAAGGAAUCAAGAAGUUCUAAUUUGUUGCUUACUCCAAUUGGGAUACAAAUUACUGAAGCACUCAAAAUACAGAUGGAGGUGCAAAAACGGCUUCAAGAACAAUUAGAGGGAGCAACAAAUACAACCUCAGGGGUGUGAUUGGGAAGUACUUCGAUAGAUCUAUGUACAUCUCACCUAAGAUUUCACUCUAUUAUUUGG